Molecule: long non-coding RNA, 3085 nt
Organism: Schistocerca gregaria
Lineage: Eukaryota; Metazoa; Arthropoda; Insecta; Orthoptera; Acrididae
Exons: 5
Source: RefSeq, a predicted model, not a curated record
AGUCUAGGUCCUCUCUUCGACAGCUGGUCAAACAAGGAAUCCCAAGGUGUAUGAUGGGUGUCUUCCGUAUUAUCUCGUGCCGCUGAACAAUAGGCGAGAGAAUAACAUGCUAGGCUUUUUGCAGAAAGACAGGCUAGAUAGCUUGGUUUCCAGUAAUUUAAAAGCCAACUUAUUUUUUUGAACUUCAAUCUAGAAAACGAGUUGAUGUGACAAGGACUUGAUGGAGGCGAAAAGCGGAGACUUGCGAUAUGACGAAACUGCUGUUCAAGAAAUCUAGGUGCUGUGUCACGCGCGCUCGGCAACACAUUAAAAUAACAACCUUUACACCGGCCCAAUACGUCAUCUAUGAACCGUAACAUCGGCUAUGAAAAUAAAGAACCCAGUACGCGAUAUCAGAAUGAAAUAGGGCUUACUGAAAGGCAGUGACUGCGACGUUUAUUCACCAGCACCCAAAGACAAGUUUUGCGCAAAAUGGCCGGAUUUUUCGAUAUCUGUUUGCACAGCCUCACGCUGAAAUUUGCCUCUAACGCAAUCCACUCUGUAGAAAAAUUUUUAUGGGAGAGACGCAAGGUAUAAAAAACAUGCGUCCCCUCUCGAAUGAAAAAAAAAUCAUUUUACAACUCUGUUCAGCAGAGACCCCAUUCUUCUCUUGGUCGCCUUAGUGAGCUACUAGAAUGUACAGCCCUACAAUUGAAUCUGAAAAAAUUGAGAGAAUUUACCUGCUCUCUGAUUAUGCGCCUCAAAGAACGGAAACAUCGAAUUGGCUGCAAAGACAAGAGUUGAAAGGGUUGGCCGCAAUGCAUACCACCAUGACAUCACUCUAUCCAAAGGAACAUGAGUCUGAUUGGCUAGAAGAUUUUUGGUGAGCUCAGUUGUACCGCUAAUUUUACUACUACUCUUUUUUCCCACUUCAAUCAAACUGCACCGUAUAUUUAGUGUGCUUGGCAGACAGCCAUUGACAGGACACAUUUUAUGGGUCAACUCAGAAAAUAGGGUUUGCACAAAGCAACCAAAUUCUUACACAAAAAUAUUCAUUAUAACAGAAUUUCUCUCAAAAAUACAUGUUUUUCUUACUACAUCUAGAUCACGAUUAUGACCAGGAUAUGAUCCUUUGUUGUGCAUGAUUUUAGCGGCCGUAGCUAAAGUGAAACUCAUCCUACGAUGCAUUCACCAUAAUCGCAAUCAGGAUAUGGCUUGUUGUUCGACAGAUCGCUAUAAAUAGAUAAGAUGUUAGUGCAAAAGAGAAACAUAAACACCAAAACUGGCUAAACUACUUACCAUAAUUUCAGAUUGUUAACGAAAUCGGGAGGAGGACAUUGCAAGGCUAGGUUAUUGCUCGAAAUGUUACUUUAAAGAUAAAAAAAUUAGAUUAGUUUCACUGGAAUUUAGGAGAAUAGAUGCAGGUUAAUGAAAAAGAGAUGCAGACUAAGAACUCAAGCAGAGAAGGAACAUACAUAUAUUCUAGAGUAUCCGACUCACUAAUUAUAGAUGGAAUCGCUUGACUGAGUUCGUUGUCGGACAAAUCACUGUACUCAAAAUUAUUAGUUGACAAGCUAUUUAGAUAAAAAAAUCACUAUCUAGAGGCGUACAGUAUAGACACACUUGUGCUGAUAUUUGGGAAUGGCCCACUUAGAUCAUUGUGUGAUAAAUUUCUAAAUUUGAGACAAAGUUCCUAGAUGGUGAUUUAAAAUGAGAAAAAGUUCAGAAUCUCGAAAUAAACGAGGUACAAAAUACUAGAAAUUCAACUUACAAUGCUUUCAGUCUACUCAUGUUUCCUAAACUGUCCGACAUGGGUAUGUCUAAACUGUUCGAAUCAACUCGACUAUCUUCUCGUAAGUAUGUUUAUGUAUGUGGAAUUAUUAGAUCGUUGUUUACAUGUCAUACAGUUCUAUCAAUUUCUUGAUAUCUGGGAUCAAUCCAGACAACUUGUUGCAAUGUAGAUACCUAGAUAACAAAAAUUGGUACAGAAAGGUUGUACCAUUCUAGUCAGCAGUUUAUAAAAUAGUUUUGUUUGAUGUACAAAAAAGAAGAGUCUAAAACGACAUCAAGUUGAUUAUAGCAAAGACAUACAGGAAUCUCAAUUGUUUCAUUUCGCUCAUACCUGCAGGGAUUACUCCUGAUAACUCGUUUUCCGAAAGAUCCCUCAUGACCAAAGAUAGUCAGUAAAAAUUAUAUAAGCAUGACUAUGUGUUCAUAUUAGGCAGCCUUUUCAAUGGUUAAUUUUUAGAAAUCGCUGAUAUUUAGAGAUAGAAAACUAGCGUACAAUAGUUCCAGAAGCUUAAGUUCUUUAAUUGAAGAUGGGAUAAUGUCUUUAAUGUUAUUUCUUGACAUCGUGCUAAAAUUAUGUAUUAGACAGAGAACAAGACUAAAAAAUUUUGCUAUAAAGAUAGAAAAAGAAGGCCUGCACUAGACUGGUCGAAUGUGACUCAUUGAGAUCACUGAUUAUUUGGAAAGGAAACAUACAGGAAAUUCAAUGUUUUGAUCUCUAAAAUAGCAGGGUCGAUUUUUUUCAUAUUACAGUUGGUAAUUGACCUAGAGGAGAAAUUUUUGAAAAGAAUAAGAAUUUUUUUAGAAAAGUCCAAUGCAUAAUGAAGAAGGAUUUAGAAAAUGAGGGGAAAUGAAAAAUGCGUACAGAUCACUUAAUUUAGAAAGACUACUGAUGGAACUCGGAAAAGCGGCUGAAGACAUGUCUACUCCUUUUAGGACUCUGCAUAGGAAUUGUGUUUUGAGUUAGUAGAGAUUGUCGAGGACAAGCGCAGACGCAUUGAACAUUUCCUAGCUAUUUACAUUUUAUUUAUUGAAGAUUUUUUACUGUGUAUCAAAGAUCAAAAAUAGUUAAUACUGUCAAGGCUAUUACACCUUCCUUCGAAUUUUUGUAUUAGUGGUAGAAUUUUGUAUUUUAGACGUUACCAGGAAAUUCCAGUGAAAUUACAGUAGGAUUCAUCGUCGUCGUCUUCGAGAAUUUUCCAAGAAAUAUUAUCAUUUGUUAAUUCUGGAUAGGCAUCAAUCAUGUCGUUAAUAAAAGUGAUUUCUGGUUUUUUGUCACAAGUUGUCGUUGAGAUCACUAGAAUUAAAACAAGAAAAA